CCGCCUUCCCACCAGCCUCACAUGACCGCCUUGUUCAGGUGAUCCUCGCACUCCCCUAGCUCGUGCUGGGCCUCCCCGGUCACGUGGGGCCGGAGCCCGGGGAAGGAGGGGAGAGGUCCUGCCUUGCGUGGGCCGCCCUGGUGGCCCGCCCGAGGCGAAGCCGGGGGCACCUGGGCGCCGCCCGAGUCCCGAUCGGGCGGGAGGAUGGAGGAACGGCGUGGCCCCCGCUCCUGUGGCCUCCCAGGAUGGCUCGCGGCGGGCCUCCCAGGAUGCCUCAGGACGCCGCACGGAGGGGCUUCCGUGGCCCAGGCUUAGAAGCCAAAGCUAGCCCUGCUUGUAAUCGCCCGGCCCCGGGAAGUCGCAGAUCGCGUGGGGGGGGUUAGCCCCUACGUCCCGGGGAUGCUGUAAGGAUGCGAUGAGAUGAGAAAAAGGAGACUCAGAGAGGGCAAGUGAGUUACCUAUAGACACACAGCUGGUUUUCUUGGCAAAGAUAGUGUUUGCCAUUUCCUUUUUCAGCUCAUUUUACAGAUGAAGAAAUUGAGGCAAACAAGGCUUGUGUUUAUCCUGGAAACCUGGCCAGUUGCUUGAGUAAGCACAGCCCUCCUUAAAAAAUGAAAAAUAUUCUCCUUGGCCAGCCUCUUGUGAUGGAACAUCCUGUACCUGGGAGGCUGCUAUGUCUCAAGAGUCAAGUAUCAAAUGAGAAUACUCAGCGUGAUGUCUUCUUGGUUCUCAGCCUAUAAAAAUCCCUUGGUGGAAAGGGACUUGGAGAAUUUACCAAGGAAGUUCUUGCCUAGGAAUGCCUCCCACAAUUCUGUAUAGCUGCACUAUGGAUUCUCCCAGCUGAGGAAUUCAGGUGUUGGUGCUUCCUUGCAGUGAUGAUGUAUGUUGUAUGUUGCUUAUUUGUGUUUGCAAUAGUGUCUUUAUGGUAGCCACAGUGUUUAUUAAUUGUGUAUUAUUUGUAUGCUAUGAGAUUCCUCCUCUAUUUUGUCUUAUUUAAAUCAAGGUUCUGAGCAGUAAUAAACUUGUACCCACUCUCUUUAAGACUGUGCCUGUUGAAUAUGAAUUCUGAACUUAGAUUAAUCUUAGUGAGGCUGACAACUUUGCAUAACUCUGCUUUUUUAAAUCCAAUUCAUGUAUGAGUCAAGACAUCACCCAUGAUGUCAUUGGUUCUUUUUAAACAAAGGAUAAGCCGAAAUAGCCUCCAUUUCACAGCUAAACUCCCAGAAAAAAAAAAUUGUCUAUACUCUCUCAGCUCCCACUGACUUCUUAGUCUCUUUCUCACUUCCCACUGACUCCUCAAAUGUAUUGCAAACUGGUUUCCCUAUCUAUCCAUCACUCAACUCAAACUAUUCUCUUUAAGUUCACCAAUGAUCUUCUUGUUGCUAAAUCUAAGGAAAUUUUCUCAGUCUUCAUAAUUCUGUGAGAAUACUAUCCAUGCCCUAUUUCCUUAUAUUUAUGUAUGGCCCAAAACCCUAUCUAGAGUCUUCUCACUCUAGAUUUUUUUCUUGAUGACCUCAUCAACUACCCUGAGACCAAUUUCUCCGCAGACUCUCAAAUUAAUAUAGAGCUAACCUUUUAUUUCUCUCUAAAGUUCAAAAACCUACAUCAUCAACUCUGUUGAAUACCUCCACCUGAAUAUCCCA
RNAcentral lists this long non-coding RNA (1643 nucleotides) under Sarcophilus harrisii (Tasmanian devil). Its description in RNAcentral is "lncRNA (ENSSHAG00000030936.1)". Lineage: Eukaryota; Metazoa; Chordata; Mammalia; Dasyuromorphia; Dasyuridae. The record is from RNAcentral.